UUUGUUUUCAGAUCUCUGGCCCCUUAGAAUUCCCCUUUUUCUCUCUCUUCCUAUGUGCAUGUGUGUCCCAUUGUGUGGUCAUUGAUCUGUGAAGCAUUGGG
Caenorhabditis elegans is the source of this 101-nucleotide non-coding RNA. The record is from Ensembl. NCBI's taxonomy places the organism in Eukaryota, Metazoa, Nematoda, Chromadorea, Rhabditida, Rhabditidae.